GGAGCUUGCUCCACCGAAAGAAAAAGAGUGGCGAACGGGUGAGUAACACGUGGGUAACCUGCCCAUCAGAAGGGGAUAACACUUGGAAACAGGUGCUAAUACCGUAUAACACUAUUUUCCGCAUGGAAGAAAGUUGAAAGGCGCUUUUGCGUCACUGAUGGAUGGACCCGCGGUGCAUUAGCUAGUUGGUGAGGUAACGGCUCACCAAGGCAACGAUGCAUAGCCGACCUGAGAGGGUGAUCGGCCACACUGGGACUGAGACACGGCCCAGACUCCUACGGGAGGCAGCAGUAGGGAAUCUUCGGCAAUGGACGAAAGUCUGACCGAGCAACGCCGCGUGAGUGAAGAAGGUUUUCGGAUCGUAAAACUCUGUUGUUAGAGAAGAACAAGGAUGAGAGUAGAACGUUCAUCCCUUGACGGUAUCUAACCAGAAAGCCACGGCUAACUACGUGCCAGCAGCCGCGGUAAUACGUAGGUGGCAAGCGUUGUCCGGAUUUAUUGGGCGUAAAGCGAGCGCAGGCGGUUUCUUAAGUCUGAUGUGAAAGCCCCCGGCUCAACCGGGGAGGGUCAUUGGAAACUGGGAGACUUGAGUGCAGAAGAGGAGAGUGGAAUUCCAUGUGUAGCGGUGAAAUGCGUAGAUAUAUGGAGGAACACCAGUGGCGAAGGCGGCUCUCUGGUCUGUAACUGACGCUGAGGCUCGAAAGCGUGGGGAGCGAACAGGAUUAGAUACCCCUGGUAUUCCACGCCGUAAACGAUGAGUGCUAAGUGUUGGAGGGUUUC
Molecule: ribosomal RNA, 780 nt
Filed under: Enterococcus casseliflavus
Lineage: Bacteria; Bacillati; Bacillota; Bacilli; Lactobacillales; Enterococcaceae
Description: bacterial SSU rRNA
Rfam family: Bacterial small subunit ribosomal RNA
Source: RNAcentral